GGUUUUUCAACGCCGCUUUGAAGAGCCGUAUUUGGGCUAUUUCGUGGCGACCGGUAUUUUAUUGUUUUUCUUUUCUUUUCGUUGAAGACUUAAAUAUCUCAUAAAAAGGACUACAAUUAAGGAUGUACUUAGGUGAGGUUAGGUGAAAAUUAAUAAAUUAAGAAGUUAAAAUUGAUACUAUAAGCUAGUAGAGCAUCAAUUAAGGAAUAAAAUGAGGUAAAAAUAUUGAUAGGUCAUGGACCUCCUUUUCAAGAUAUUUGAGAUUUAAAAUAUGGCGGGAAAAGGCUGACUCGGACUUUUACCUUAUAUUUGCAUUGGUAUUAUUAGGUCUCAAAACAAAAGAAAGAAAAUUAAGAAUCUUCUAAAAUUUUGGUAAAUGACCUUUCAUGAACUAUUAAGUCUUAUAUGAAAAAAUAAAUGGGUGUUAUGGGGCAAAAUAUUUUACAUUGUAUUGUAUGGAAAAACACCAAGGAGUCCGAACAUUAGACACAACAUCCAAAACCUCACCUAAGUACAUCCUUAAGGAAAAUUCUAGAUAACUUUU
Molecule: long non-coding RNA, 544 nt
Filed under: Mytilus galloprovincialis (Mediterranean mussel)
Lineage: Eukaryota; Metazoa; Mollusca; Bivalvia; Mytilida; Mytilidae
Source: RNAcentral